GAUGAAGAACGUAGCGAAAUGUGAUAAGUAAUGUGAAUUGCAGAAUUCAGUGAAUCAUCGAAUCUUUGAACGCACAUUGCGCCCGCCAGUAUUCUGGCGGGCAUGCCUGUUCGAGCGUCAUUUCAACCCUCAGGCCCCCAGUGCCUGGUGUUGGGGAUCGGCAGCAGGGCGUCAAGCCCGCCGGCCCCGAAAUCUAGUGGCGGUCUCGCUGUAGUCCUCCUCUGCGUAGUAGCACAACCUCGCAGUUGGAACGCGGCGGUGGCCAUGCCGUUAAACACCCCACUUCUGAAAGUUGACCUCGGAUCAGGUAGGAAUACCCGCUGAACUUAAGCAUAUCAAUAAGCGGAGGA
This 350-nucleotide unclassified non-coding RNA is filed under the name soil metagenome. RNAcentral describes it as "partial contains 5.8S ribosomal RNA, internal transcribed spacer 2, and large subunit ribosomal RNA". The stretch from base 1 to 120 matches the Rfam family "5.8S ribosomal RNA", at positions 35 to 154 of the family's 154-position model. The record is from RNAcentral.